Molecule: ribosomal RNA, 2441 nt
Filed under: Lophocereus schottii
Lineage: Eukaryota; Viridiplantae; Streptophyta; Magnoliopsida; Caryophyllales; Cactaceae
Description: eukaryotic LSU rRNA
Rfam family: Eukaryotic large subunit ribosomal RNA
Source: RNAcentral
AGCCGGUCUGUCGAUUGACUCGGGGCACAGAGCGACACGGAUUGGGAAGGCGAGUAGACACUGGCACCUACGCACUCUAGGCCUCAGCCUGCGGGCCCCCCAUUCGGCCCUUCUUGAAACAUGUACUAAGGCCUCUGACAUGUGUGCGAGUCAACAGGCAAUAAACUCGUGCGACACAAGGAAGCUAAUUUAUAGGAUCCCCUCAUGGGUGCACCGCCGACCGACCUUGAUCUUCUAAGAAGGUUCAAGUGCGAGCAUACCUGUUGGGAUACGAAAGAUGGUGAACUAUGCCUAAGUGGGGCGAAGCCAGAGGAAACUCUGGUGAAGGCCCGAAGCGAUUCUGACAUGCAAAUCAUUCGUCUCAGUUGGGCACAGGGCGAAUCAAACUGUCGAGUAGUUAGUUCCCCUCUGAAGUUUCCCUCAGGAUAGCUGGAGCUCAUACGCAAGUUCUAUCAAGUAAAGCUAAUGAUUAGAGGCAUUUGGAGUGCAAUGCCCUCAUUUUAUUCUCAAACUCUCAAUAGGUAGGAUGGCGUGGCUGCUUUGCUAAGCUGCACUACGGAAUCGAGUAAGCAGAACAGGCGAUACAAGAUAAACCAAAAGUUGGGUUACGAUACCUAAUUUUGCGCUAACUUAGAUCCCACAAAGGGUGUUGGUUAACUGAGACAGCAGUACGAUGGUCAUGGUGGACGAAAUCCAUUAAGGAGUGUGUAACAACUUACCUACCGAAUCAACCAGCCCUGAAAAUAGAUGGCGCUGAAGCGCGUGACCUAUACCCAGUAUUAGGGGCAAGUGCCAGGCCCCGAUGAGUAGGAGGGUGCAGCAGUCGUUAGAAAACCUGUGGCACGAGCCAGGGAGGAGCGGCUGUCGGUGCAAAUCUUGGUGGUAGUAGCAAAUAUUCAAAUAAGAACUUUGAAGGCCAAAGAGGGGAAAGGUUCUAUGUGAGAGACACUUGCACAUUGGUCAGUCAAUCCUAAGAGACAGGGGAAGUUCGUCCGACAGUGCCUUUCGUGUGAUCUUUGGAAGGGAAUCGGGUUUAAAUUUCGAACCAGGAUGCGGCAGUUGACAGUAAUGUUAGGGAGUCCGGACACUCACGGGAGCCUCGAGAAGAGUUAUCUUUUCUUUUUAACAGCCUACCCACCCUAGAAACGACUCAAUUAGACGUAGGGUCUAGCGGCUAGAAGAGCACCACACGUCACAUGGUGUCUGGUGCGCCCUCAGCGGCCCUUAAAAAUCCGGAGGAUCGGGUGCUGACCAUGCUGGGUCAUACUCAUAACCGCAUCAGGUCUCUAAGGUGACUAACCUGUUGCCGAUGGAACCAUGUAUGUAAAGGAAGUCAGCAAAAUGGAUCUCGAACCCAUCUGCUGUCAACAGAUUGCUUGAGCUACUCCCACAGUGAGAGCAGGUUGUUGCGUGCCAGCCGGGGGACAGAUUGGGAACGACCCCUUCAAGGACCUUCCCUGGACGUCAAACAAUCAACUCAAAAUUUGUAUGGACAAUGAAAAUCUGAUUGUUUAAUUAAAACAAAGUAUUUCGAUGGUCCAGCAGAUGUUAGCAGAAUGUGAUUUCUGCCCAGUGCUCUGAAUGUCAAGGUAAAGAAAUUCAACCAAGCGCGGGUAAAGGGCGGGAGUAGCUAUGACUCUCUUAAGGUAGCCAAAUGUCUCGUCAUCUAAUUAAUGACGCGCAUGAAUGUAUUAGCAAGAUUCCCACUGUCCUUGUGCACUAUCCAGUGAAACCACAACCAAGGGAAUGGGCUUGGCAGAGUCAACGUGGAAAGAAGCCCUGUUGAGCUUAACUCUAGUCCGACUUUGUGAAAUGGCUUGAGAGGUGUAGCUUAAGUGGGAGCUUUGGCGCAAGUGAAAUACCACUACUUUAAACGUUAUUUUACUUACUCUAUGAGUUAGAGCUGGGGCAUCGCCUCUCAUUCAGACCUAAGGCUCGCUUUGCAGGCCGAUCCGGGGGGAGGACAUUGUCAAGUGGGGAGAUUGGCUGGGGUUGCACAUCUAUUAAAAGAUAACGUAAGUGUCUAAGAUUAGCUUAACAAGAAUAGAAAUCUCGUGUGAAAUAGAAGGGUAAAAGCUCAUUUGAUUCUAAUUUUCAGUAUGAAUAUGAACCGUGAAAAUGUGGCCUAACGAUCCUUUCGACCUUCAGAAUUUAAAGGUAGAAGUAUCAGAAAAGUUACCACAGGGAUAACUGGAUUGUGGCAGCCAAGCGUUCAUAGCAACGUUGUUAUUGAUCCUUCGAUGUUGUCUCUUCCUAUCAUUGCGAAGUAGAAUUCACCAAGUGUUGGAUUGUUCACCCACUAAUAGGGAACAUGAGCUGGGUUUAGACCGUUAUGAGAUAGGUUAGUUUUACCCUACUGAUGACAGUGUCACGAUGGUAAUUCAACCUACUACGAGAGGAACUAUUCAUUCGCACAAUUGGUCAUCGUGCUUGUAUGAAAA